CUACGGGAUGCUGCAGUGGGGAAUAUUGCACAAUGGAGGAAACUCUGAUGCAGCAACGCCGCGUGGAGGAUGACGCAUUUCGGUGUGUAAACUCCUUUUAUAUGUCAAGAAAAUGACGGUAGCAUAUGAAUAAGCACCGGCUAACUCCGUGCCGGCAGCCGCGGUAAUACGGAGGGUGCAAGCGUUACUCGGAAUCACUGGGCGUAAAGGACGCGUAGGCGGGUUGGAAAGUCAGGUGUGAAAUCCUACAGCUUAACUGUAGAACUGCACUUGAAACUUCUAAUCUAGAGUAUGGGAGGGGGAGAUGGAAUUAGUGGUGUAGGGGUAAAAUCCGUAGAUAUCACUAGGAAUACCUAAAGCGAAGGCGAUCUCCUGGAACAUUACUGACGCUAAGGCGUGAAAGCGUGGGGAGCAAACAGGAUUAGAUACCCGAGUAGUC
RNAcentral lists this ribosomal RNA (439 nucleotides) under uncultured bacterium. RNAcentral describes it as "partial 16S ribosomal RNA". It matches the Rfam family "Bacterial small subunit ribosomal RNA", at positions 339 to 795 of the family's 1533-position model. The record is from RNAcentral.